Molecule: long non-coding RNA, 2081 nt
Filed under: Musa acuminata (dwarf banana)
Lineage: Eukaryota; Viridiplantae; Streptophyta; Magnoliopsida; Zingiberales; Musaceae
Description: long non-coding RNA (MACU_LNC006702)
Source: RNAcentral
GAAUAUUAAUAUAUAAAACAACUUCGGCUUAAACUAAUCAUUUGAUCGUAAACACGAAGAUUAUAAAGUCAAUGCAAUCCAUCCAUUCACGAUGAAUUUUUAGGACGGGGAUAAGUAUUCUAUCCUAAAAUUAAUAAGAUUGACUGAAAUUACUUAUAUAUCCUUCGUAUUUAUCCCCAAAUAAAUAGAUAAAUAUUACGGAUUCCUAUGCCAAAAAUUGGCGUCCCCGAACUCGAACACCCCGCUGUCAUCACCCACUCAUCUUUGCCAUUCCAGCUGUUCUUCUAACCGUUCAUCACCCCGAUCACAUUACGCCCCACCUCCUCUCUCGAGGGACCCACGCCAUAAAAUGUCUCGCGCGCAGAGGUUUCCGCCGUGGAGCGGGAGAGGCAACUCAGGCGGAGGCGGAGGCGGAGGCGGAGGGAGAGGGAGGAAGCGCCACCAUGGCCCCUUCCGUGAGAGGCCGAGGUGGCAGCGUCGCCGCUGGGGACGUCGGAGGAGGAGCAGGAGAAGGCGGUGGAUACUACCCUGCGCCUCCUCCCAUCCCCUUCUCGAGACACCACCUGGAAGUGACGGUGAUCUCGGCUCAGGAUCUCUACCCGGCCGCCCGGUCGAUGCGCACAUACGCGGUGGCCUAUUUUCGGCCCGACCACCGCGCCCGCACCCGCAUCGACGCCUCCGGCCACACCGACCCCACCUGGAACGACAAAUUCGUCUUCCGCGUCGACGACGCCGUCCUUCACUCCGACACCUCUGCCAUCACCAUCGACGUCUACGCCGACCGCCCGGGCCUUCUGCCGGGCCCCGACAUCCUCCUCGGCACCGCCCGCGCCCUCCUCUCCACCCUCCGCCCCUCCUCCGCCAUCCACUACGCGGCCCUUCAGAUCCGCCGCCCCGCCUCCCUCCGCCCGCAGGGCAUCCUCAACCUCGGCGUCGCCCUCGUCGACCCCUCCGCCCGCACCGUCCCCGUCCACGCCAACCGCGGCCACGCCUCCUCCACCCCCAGGCCCGAGGUCCCGAAGCCCAAGCGUCCCACCGCGGGAACCAGUCGAGCGGCGGACCGGGAGAGGACGGAGCUGGAGAGGAAGCUAGAGAAGUGGAGGGCCGAGCUGCCGCCAGUCAGCGGCGAGGUGGUGAGACAGGAGAAGGGAGGACGCAACCGCGGCGCCCCCGUGGCCGCGGUCGUCGAGGACGAGCCAGUGAUUCGGCCGCAGAGGAAUCGGAGCUUUAAGAGGUUUGCGUGCUUCGGCGGCGGAAAUGUGGAGUCGGGGGAGUUCGUUGCCGCCCCGCGAUAUGUGGAGGAGAGGCCGCCGAGAAGGGCCGCUAGGGUUGCCGUCCAUCGCCACAAGGGGUAAGGGUCAUCUUGUAAGUUCGUUUUUGUUUGUGGGUUUUUCUGCAUAGUAGCAUAAAUCCAAAUAAGACUAAUUAUAUAACACCAUAAAUCUUUAUUUUUUUAAAAAAUUAUAUUAAGAUUUUUAUAUUUUAUAUUAAUAUUUUACUUUCAAAAUACUAAAUAUAAUUAAUUAUAAAAAUAAUCUAUAAUUAAUCCUCAUAAAAAUUAAUUUUGUAUAUUUUAUGAAAAAAAUGAAAGAAAUAAAUAUAUGACUGGUUAGUCUUCGUUACUGCAGCUAUAGAGAUCGAGAAGGGCUGCUCAAUAUUUGAUCAUCAUAUCACUUAUUUACGUGGCAAGAUGCGUCAGAAAAGGGUGCAACAUGUCAUGUGGAGUUGCAAUAACCAUAUCCAGUCUGCUUCCGAGUCCAUUCAUCCGUGAUCGAGUUCUUUAGUUCUCCGACACAGUACGGAAAUUUUUUUGGUGUGUUCUUCAAACGCUUCUUUUGUAAGAAUUAUUGAGGUCCAAACGAUUUGAAACGACAGCUGAAAUAUAGUUGGUUGACGUAAAAUGACGUGGAAAAAUAAAUAUACCUUUAAUAUAAAAUCAAAACGGUGCAGAUGAGAUCUCAGCCCCCUCUUCUGAUAAUGAAAACGACGAUCACACGCCUGUCACGUGAGUACCACGUGGGAAAGGCCACUGUGAGAUAAACCCCUCGCCGCUGUCCUCUGCGUCGGUCUGUUUUACUCUG